Pseudopipra pipra is the source of this 2620-nucleotide RNA transcript. It is a transcript of the gene named leucine-rich repeat-containing protein 14-like, with no coding region annotated. The transcript is spliced from 5 exons. The record is from RefSeq and is a predicted model, not a curated record. NCBI's taxonomy places the organism in Eukaryota, Metazoa, Chordata, Aves, Passeriformes, Pipridae.
CUCUCUGAGUGGUGGUGGCAGCGCGCAGACCCGGAAGUGGGGCCGCCGUACGGGCUGGAGCUGCCGGGGCCUGCGGGUGGGCGGCCCCCUGGAUUCAUGGAUUCCCUGCUCUUCCUCUCUGCCCGCCGGCUCGUCGCCCACCGCCCCCUUCCCACUGUUCCCGCCCAGCUCUAUCCCAUCCUCUUCCAAGCUGCGUUCCUGGAUGGGAGACCUCUAGUCCUGCAGGAUUUGGUGGCGCAGUGGCCAUUCCCAGUCCUCAACUUCCAGGGGAUCGUGGGGCACCGGGAGCUGCUCCGGGAUCAUCCCUCCAAGCUCUGCAUCCAGUCCGUCAUCCUGGCCGUGGUGGACCAGCUCCGGCAGGAUCUGGAGGAAGCAGGCCAUGAUUCCAGCCGGUGCCGUCUCCGUGUGCUGGAUGUGACAGGACUCCGGGAUGAUGCCGCUGGCCGUGCUCCGGAAGGGAUGAGUGUCUGGUCUGGCACCGUGGCCCUGGCCAAGGCUUGUGUGGAGGUCUCCAAACACCAGCGGGAACUCCAGAAAUGCAGAUCCAGGAGCCAUAAGGGCCGUUCCGGCACCACGGCAGCUCCACGAUUCAUCGACAUCCACGCCGAUCUCUUCGUCAAUGGAACAUCCUAUGGAAUCCUGUGGGAUGCACUCCAGGCCGGGAACACCAGCCCACUGCGCCUCAAGUGCCGGGAGUUCCAAGCUGAGGAGCUCUGCCUGGCUGGAAUUGUGAGUCUGCUGAAAUCCUUGGAUCCCUCUGGCGUAAGGAGGGUGGACCUUCGCUUCAACAACCUUGGACUGGGGGGUCUCUCCUUGGUUUUGCCACAUCUCUCCCGAUUCCUGGGUCUCCGAAGCCUCCGACUUCCCUACAGCAAUGUCGACGUGCGGCGGCCAACGCCGGAGUCGGUGCUGGGAAUCCGGUGUCUGGCCAGGGAGCUGGGAAAGCUGCAGAGCCUCAGGGAGCUCAACCUGGGAUCCUCCAGGCUCUCCGGGAAUUUGAGGCACAUUCUCUGCAAACUCGAGGCUCCAUUGGAAAGCUUGGAACUGGCCUUCUGCUCCCUCCUUCCCGCUGACUUCGCCUUCCUCUCCCAAAGCUUCCAUGCUCCGGCCCUGAAAAGGCUGGAUCUGAGCGGCCAUGAUUUCUCCCAAACUCUUCUCCAACCCCUUCAGCAUCUCCUGGAGGAAACCUCGGCUUCCCUGCUCCACCUGGACCUCAUGGAAUGCCGGCUGACAGACUCACACCUGGAUGCCCUGCUGGUGUCACUCCGGCACUGCUCCUGCCUCCGCUCCCUCGGACUCUUUGGGAAUUCCUUCUCCACAGCAGGGCUCAAGGAUUUAUUAUGGAAAACUGUGGUCCUGCCAGAUCUCCGCUUGGUCGUGUAUCCUAUCCCUGUGGAUUGCUACAAGUCAGGGCUGGAUCCUGGCUGGAUUUUGGAGGAGCAGCUGGACAGGGAAUGUUUGGGAGCAGUGAGCGCUGAGCUGGGCCGGAUGCUGGAGAGCUUCGGAAGAGCCGACAUCGUCUGGACUUCCAACCCCUAUGGACACGAAGCCCUGGAUUACUUCUGCUUGUAGCUGGAGAAGAGCUUGGAGCCUUCAGCCUGGAGAAGUGCUGUGGCCUCAGUGCCUCCUUCCUCAAAGAAUUUGUUUUGACCUCAUUUUGGUGUUUUUCCUGUUAUCCCAGUGGUUUUUUGCCUCAUCCCGAUGGUUUUCCACCUCAUCCCAGUGUUUUCCAGUAACUUUUGUUACCACCUUGUCACCAGCCAUAGCUGGGACAGACCUGAUGUCACUGGAAAACCCCCCGAACUCUGCUGAUUAACACUGGAUAUUAAUUAAUUAAUUAAUAAUUAAUAAAUCAGCAUCACUUGGCUGGUGAUGAAAUUCCUGCCAAAUCCCCCCUAAAUCCCACUCUCCUGUAUCCUGAAUCCCAGCACUUCACAGUGAGGAAUCAGCAUGGUGAGUUCUGUUUUUUUGGGGGAGUUUCAUGGAAAUAAAGGGAUCCCAGUUGCCAUGGAAACACCCAUCCCAGUGCCAGGAUGGGCUUCCCUCCAAUUUAGGGAUGUUGGGGGGUUCCCUGGUGCCAGGGGUCUCUGAUUCCACCAUAUCCCGUUGCCAUGGGAGUUAUGGGAAUGGUUGGGGGGGGUCUCAAACUCCACCAUAUCCUGCUGCCCUGGGAGUGACUGGGAUGGUUGGGGGUCAAGCCACCUGUUUUUCAGGAAUACCAGCCCAGGGACCCCCCAAGCACCCCUGAACCAACCAGAGACCCUUCCAGCCCCCCGAAGCAGCCCAGGGACCCCUCCAGUCCCCCUAAACAAGCCCAAGAACCCCUCUAGCCCCCCAUCCCAGGGAGCCCCAGCCCUUCUAAACCAGCCCAGGGAAUCCCUGCCAAGGACCCCCCAGAAAACCCCUAAACCAGCCCAGAGACCCCCUCAAACCCCCCCAAAACCAGCUCCCCAUCCUAAAGGACUCAGCCAGCCCCUUCUAAAACCAGCUCAGGGACCCCCCCCAAACCACCCUCAGAUCGCGUGUGUCUGUCACACCCAUGUGGGAUCCAGGUUUGUGUCUGUCACACCAAGAUGUUUGUCCAGGUGUGUGUCUGUCACACCCGUGUACCACCCAGGUG